RNAcentral lists this unclassified non-coding RNA (336 nucleotides) under soil metagenome. Its description in RNAcentral is "partial contains 5.8S ribosomal RNA, internal transcribed spacer 2, and large subunit ribosomal RNA". The stretch from base 1 to 120 matches the Rfam family "5.8S ribosomal RNA", at positions 35 to 154 of the family's 154-position model. The record is from RNAcentral.
GAUGAAGAACGCAGCGAAAUGCGAUAAGUAAUGUGAAUUGCAGAAUUCAGUGAAUCAUCGAAUCUUUGAACGCACAUUGCGCCCGCCAGUAUUCUGGCGGGCAUGCCUGUUCGAGCGUCAUUUCAACCAUCAAGCCCCCGGCUUGUGUUGGGGACCUGCGGCUGCCGCAGGCCCUGAAAAGCAGUGGCGGGCUCGCUGUCACACCGAGCGUAGUAGCAUACAUCUCGCUCUGGGCGUGCUGCGGGUUCCGGCCGUUAAACCACCUUCAAAACCCAAGGUUGACCUCGGAUCAGGUAGGAAGACCCGCUGAACUUAAGCAUAUCAAUAAGCGGAGGA